RNAcentral lists this long non-coding RNA (3814 nucleotides) under Homo sapiens (human). RNAcentral's name for it is "long non-coding RNA NONHSAT176527.1". The record is from RNAcentral. Lineage: Eukaryota; Metazoa; Chordata; Mammalia; Primates; Hominidae.
UGUGCAUUCAUCUUCUGCAGGGACCAUUUCAGUAGAGCCUUUUAAGACACAUGUUUUGGAAUACAGUCAAAUGCGUGCUGCUGUAUGACCAGCCUAUUUGGAAAUGAUGAAUUUUACAACAUCCCUGAAAGCUUAGGUUUGAGGUGUGUGCCUCUUACUAACAUGAGGUGUCAGUGCUGAUCUCUAACGUUGCUUUUGUGCUACUUGAAUUAUCAGUUGGCAAAGCAAAUUCUUGUCCAUGCAGGGUAGGGCUACACGUAUUUUCAGCAAGGUUUUAAAUUUUUUUCUCUGUUGAGUUAAAAUUAUGUAAAAAGAAAAAUCAACUGAUGUUAAUAAUGCUGACACCUAUUAAAUAAUUACUUUGGUUUUGUGAUCAUUCCAUUUAACUGUUGCAAUUGCCCCAAUUCAUAGUUGAGAAAACUGUGACUUUAAAAAGUCAUGUGAUGCAGGUAUUGAUUAGAUAAACCAGUACGGCUCCUUGCAGUGCUGGGUAACUUGAGCGUGUUGGCUGGAUGAUCUCUUUGUGAUGAUGUUUGUGUUAACGGCCCAGCAUUAGAGUGGGGACUUAAUUGACAAACAGAACUGUUUACAUUUUCUUUGACGUAAUAUGUUUUAAGUUAGAAGAAUAAUUUUUAUACCCAAAGCCACAUUUUCUCAUGUUAAUUGUGUAGGUAUAUUUCUAGUUAUUAUUUGUUCAUUGAUACACUCACUUAAUGAACGCUGACUCUUAGCUGAAUAAGGCUGGAAAUAGGCAAGGCACCUGGCUUUGCGUAUAUAAUCAAAUAGGGGAAUUAAUACAGAAAUAAUUAGAAAAUCAUGUAAGAAAGUCUAAUACAAGUAUUUUACAAAACAACUAGCUUUAUCAUAUAACUUUCAACUUGAACAUGACUUCCUAGUUAGGAAACCAUUUUACCAAGAAUGCAGGAAGUUAAGCCUUCAUAAUAUUUACAAACACUCCAGAGUUAACUUUUUUUUCUGCCCUGUAAAUAUCACCUCAAGUAUUUGGUUUUGCCACAAAACAUUAGAUAAGCCCAAUUUAAACUGUGAUUCCUAAUUCUGGAAAUAUGCAAAUGCUACUAAAAGAUAAGCUUCAUUUUCAGUUCCCUCAUGGCUGUUAGUCACCAGAAGAAGGGAGAGUCAAUUUCCAAUUUAUUUCCAAUGUUAAAACCUUCAUUUUGAACAUUGUUUUUCAUUCUAGUUAUAGCUACAUCUUACCUCUUUGCAAUGGUGGGAGACCCUUCCCUAAAUUGCCCUCUUCUUUAUGGACUGUUAAACUAGCAGAAAGCGCUAAUUAAAUGAUCAUUAGCUUGAGGAUGAUUGAUUACACUUAGAUUUACAUGUUGCCUUUUAUGUUCAAAGAACUACUUAAGCAUCAACUAAUUAAUCUGCAAGUGAAGAAUACUUCCAGCAUUACUCUAUAAUUAGACAAUCUCAGGAGGAAACAAGAGGAUUUCAAAGGGGAGUCAGAUGGUUUCGCAGACCGCUACAUCAUUUAUUUUUUCAUCACUCAGGUAAAAUGGCCAGACCUGAAUCCAGUUGCCAACUCAUUAUUCUUAUUUACAAAUAAGUUCAUUUUUAAAAGGCCAAAGUUGUAUAACAGAUGAGGAGUUGGAAAUAAAAACAAAUGAAUAACCAAAAGUAUUGCCUCUCAUCUCAGCUGUUUGGGUUAUUUUUAACACUUUAUUCCCCAUAAAGAGUGAAAUUAAGCAAGUCUGUUUCAUGACAUGUGGUAGACUAUCCUUUCUCUCUUUUCUUUCCCAGCAUACUCUUAUUUGCAAGUUAGUGCUGUAUACGUGUGUGUUUGUAGGUAGACAGAGAAUUGGUACUUCUUUUGGGCUUUGGUUUCCUAGGUAGUAAGAUAGGACAGAUCCAAAAUAUAUAUGAUGGGGCUGACAAACAGAAUUUUAUAAAUAUUUUUGGGAAGCAAAUGUUUGUGACCAUAAGAAUGAUUGAUUGAUAGAAUGUUGGGAAUCUGUUUGGUGUAAUAAUGCAUACAUUGAAGUAGAAUACAUCUUUAUAAAUUCAUCCCAAAAUUAUAUUUAAAACCAUAAUGACUUUUUCACCAACCUAAUACACAUAGCAAGGACCUUGAAUAGUAACAAAAGACAAUCGUCUUACUCAGGCAUCUCAUCUGUAUGUAUGGGUCAGUAGGCCAGCUCUGACCUAUACAUACAGAUUAGGUAUGAUAUUAAAAUGAUACUAAAAUGUCAAGCUUCUGUUGGUCAGAUGGUUGUUUAUCAAACUUUCCUUGAAGCAUAAGCAGUCUUCUCAGCUUUACAAAAUAGAGGGAUGUAGCAAUAAGCAAAUUCAGUUCAAGUUUCUGUUUUUGGUUGGUUUCAGAUGAGCUUGUGUCGAAUGCUAAAUUUUCCCUAAUUCAGCAACUAGCUUGUAUAUGAAAAUUAAGUGUUUGUGGGGGAAACUGCACCAUUUAUUUUUUUGAAAACUUAUAGCUAUGCAUUGAUUUGUAUUAACUUCUCUCCCCCACUUCAUCACAGUAAAUUAAAGUGAUGAUCUGUUUUUAGGUUAUGAUUUGUUAAGUGAGUGUCUUUGGGAGCCGUCACUUGAUUUCCUCACCAGGAGUAUGCCGUUUCCAACCUGUCAAGGACAGCCUAGAUUUACCAUGCCACACAGGCAUUCUGAUACGAAAUUCAAAAAGUUGGGAUUGUUAGAAGAGCUAGAAAGCACAGAUUGCACUCAGUUGGACAAAGAUAAACAGAAAGCUUGCUUUUUUAUGAAAUUGGAGAUUAAAUGAGUUGAUGGAAUCAAGCCUAGACAGCCACAUAAGCCAGAGUGGAAAAUUAUAGACUAAAAUGCAUCUGAUACUGAAGAGAAUGACUCUCUCCAAAAGCCCUCACUUUUUAUUUGAUUCAAGGAGUCUUUAUAAGCUCAGCAAACCCUAAGAUUUUAACAAGAAAAACAAAAGCCUCCAAACAGCAUGGCUUUCAUCCAGCGCUUUUGUGAUUUACAAAUGACCAGAUUUAAAACUUUAAUCAUCUCACACCUAGGGAUUUUUUGGAUUUGUUUUAGUUUGUAAGGCAUGUCCACAGACAAAAUGACUCACAAAAAACAGAAUCAGCCUAAACCCCCAAUUGGCCCUAUUCCUCUGUCAAAUCAAGACAGUCAGUUUUGCCCUGGGAUUUCAGAGUGUCCCCAAGUGGCCCUUCUAUUGACGCAAUGUUCAUCUUGCAGCUAUAAUCACUGGUUUCUUUUGAAGUGUACUUAAGCUCUUGCUUAAGUAAAUCCAUUCAUGGACAAUUAUUUAAGAGAUUGGAAAAUUCUUUGUUCACGUGAAACCUUUCUUCCUGAGCUUCCUUAUAACUUGAGAUGAUGACUUCUUUGGUCGACUCAAUGCCAUGCUUCCCACUCUGUGAGCCUGUUUUAUAGAGGCAGUAUAACAGGUGAUGUGAAGCCUUGAUAUACAUUUGGAAGGUAUGUGGAAGCUAAGAAAGUGCCCUUUGAGAAUCCCUGGUCACUUCUGAAAUUGUAAUUCCUAGGAAGUUACUGGAGCUAAGACUUCUUUUUAGAGGGAAACAGAAAAAAAAUAAUAGGACUAUGAAGAUCAGGUCUUGAUCCUUUCAGAGUUGCUAAUGCUAAUGUCACUGUUCUUCUUUUUUUUUUUUUUUUCCUUCCAAAGAUAGAAUGACACUAGUUAGAAAAAUAAAAGUCUGUUAUUUAACAUUUCAGAUUAUGCCUCCAAAUCCUACAGAAGUAUAACAACCAUAGAACAGACAAACACCAACAGCAUCAACAACAGAGAAACUCAGUCCAGGAGGAUAUGAAACCCUUUGUAAUAAAGAAAGCAACAUCCAUGAAC